CGUGUAGGCGGGCGUCUAAGUCAGUGGUGAAAUCUUACAGCUCAACUGUAAAAUUGCCAUUGAUACUGGAUGUCUUGAAUUAGUGUGAAGUGGUUAGAAUGUGUAGUGUAGCGGUGAAAUGCAUAGAUAUUACACAGAAUACCAAUUGCGAAGGCAGAUCACUAACACUAUAUUGACGCUGAGGGACGAAAGCGUGGGGAGCGAACAGGAUUAGAUACCCUGGUAGUCC
RNAcentral lists this ribosomal RNA (229 nucleotides) under uncultured bacterium. RNAcentral's name for it is "partial 16S ribosomal RNA". It matches the Rfam family "Bacterial small subunit ribosomal RNA", at positions 568 to 796 of the family's 1533-position model. The record is from RNAcentral.